This 433-nucleotide ribosomal RNA is filed under the name uncultured bacterium. RNAcentral's name for it is "partial 16S ribosomal RNA". It matches the Rfam family "Bacterial small subunit ribosomal RNA", at positions 29 to 507 of the family's 1533-position model. The record is from RNAcentral.
AACGAACGCUGGCGGCAGGCUUAACACAUGCAAGUCGAACGGAUCCUUCGGGAUAGUUGGCAGAGGGGGGGUUAACGCGGGGGAAGGAACCCUUGCCUAGGGAAAACUUCAGGUAAAUUUGGGCUAAAACGGAAGGGCCCCUACGGGGAAAAGAUUUAUCGGCAAAGGAUCGGCCGGGGUUGGUUUACCUAGUGGGUGGGGUAUGGGCCUACCAAGGCGACGAUCCAUAGCUGGUCUGAGAGGAUGAUCAGCCACACUGGGACUGAGACACGGCCCAGACUCCUACGGGAGGCAGCAGUGGGGAAUAUUGGACAAUGGGCGCAAGCCUGAUCCAGCCAUGCCGCGUGAGUGAUGAAGGUCUUAGGAUUGUAAAGCUCUUUCACCGGUGAAGAUAAUGACGGUAGCCGGAGAAGAAGCCCCGGCUAACUUCGUG